GACGAACGCUGGCGGCGUGCUUAACACAUGCAAGUCGAACGGAAAGGCCCUGCUUUUGUGGGGUGCUCGAGUGGCGAACGGGUGAGUAACACGUGAGUAACCUGCCCUUGACUUUGGGAUAACUUCAGGAAACUGGGGCUAAUACCGGAUAGGAGCUCCUGCUGCAUGGUGGGGGUUGGAAAGUUUCGGCGGUUGGGGAUGGACUCGCGGCUUAUCAGCUUGUUGGUGGGGUAGUGGCUUACCAAGGCUUUGACGGGUAGCCGGCCUGAGAGGGUGACCGGCCACCUGGGGACUGAGAGACGGAGCAGACGCGUACGGUAGGCAGCAGGGGGGAGUAUUGCACAAUGGGCGGAAGCCUGAUGCGAAAACGCCGCGUGCGGGAUGACCGCCUUCUGGGUGUAAACCGCUGUCGCCUGUGACGAAGCGUGAGUGACGGUAAUGAGUAAAGAAGCACCGGCUAACUACGUG
This 468-nucleotide ribosomal RNA is filed under the name uncultured bacterium. RNAcentral's name for it is "partial 16S ribosomal RNA". It matches the Rfam family "Bacterial small subunit ribosomal RNA", at positions 28 to 507 of the family's 1533-position model. The record is from RNAcentral.